GGAGGAGGGGCAUCAGGGGAGGCCUCCCUGAGAAGGUAACUCCUCUGCGGAUGUUACCCAGGAUUUAACCCAACCAGUAACCCUGACAGGAAGGAGGACACAUUCAAUUCAAUAAACCCAUAUACAGCAUCUACUUCUUCCUCCCGGCAUUGUCUCAGGGGUGGUCUGUGUGACCAACGGAAGUGAUGGUGUGUGACUUCUAAGACUGUGCCACAGAAGAUGUUGCCACUUCCCUUGCUGUUCUGUGGACUGCCUGCUGUGGGGGAAGCUAGCUGCCUUGUGGUGACGACACCCAGCAGCCUAGGGAUAGACCUGCGUGGGAAAGAACUGAAGCCUCCCGCCACGAGCCAGCGCCAACCUGCUCCUGCUGUCUGUGUGAACCAGCCUUCUUGGAAGCUGAUCCGCUAGAACUGGGUCAGAGCUCCGGGUGACCGCAGUCCCAGCUGAUAUCCUGACUGGAACUUAGGCGAGACCUUGAGCCAGAACCGCUCAGCUAAGACGCUUCUGAUUUUCUGACCCACGGUGACUGAGACAGUAGGUGUUCUCUUGAUGCUUUAAGGCUUUGGUUUGGGGAGUCGUUUCAUAGACAGCAGUAGACACACGUACAGAAACAAAGGCUUGGAGAAGAGUUUGGGAAGAGGCUUCGUUUUCAAGGCGCCAUACUUGUAUGCAAUGGGGGCGAUGUUUUUUUAAAGGCAUAAAAGAUGAUGAUGACUGUGAGGAUGGGUGUAACCUAAGUUGGCGAAAGGAGUGCCGGAGCAGGAAGAAAAUUUAAGAGGCCACCGCAGUCGUCCAGACGAGAGGUAAUGAGAGAGCGGAAGCGGAGGCACCGCUGGGGGACCGGAGAAUGGCACGUCCACGCAGGGGGGUGAAGGCGAAGAAGUCACGAAGGUGACUCCUGGGUUUUGAGCUCAGGAACACGGGGGAGCCAUGAUCUCAUUUACCCAAAGAGGAAACACAGAAGGGAGCCCGCGUGGGUAGGAGUCAAGAAGUGGGGGUGUCUAUCUCCUGGCGAGGAGAGCUCCCUGUGUCCAGAGCUCCGCGGAGGGCUGGCCACCAAGGCUCCUUCACAGAUCGGGCUGGUCGAGAAGCCUCUCCCUGAAGGACGAGGCUGUUCCAUUUCACCGCACAUCUUCCCCACUGCCAAGUGUUCCCUGGUGACAGCCUCUGCCAUCGAUAUUUUUAGCAUGUGGCCUUUCUGAGCCUGAAAAACAGCAUCCACUUCCUGGAACUUCUCCUCCAGCUGACAGCCAGUGACCCACGCGGGCGGGAGCUUCAGCUGGGCCUGACGGGCGACAGUCUGCCAAUCUGCUAGGGGAGAGGAGGGCAGGCCGCAAGUUGGGCACGAAGGCCUCCACCCCGCUCCCUUCUGUCCUGCUCUUGAGGCCUAACGACGUCAGUGCGCGUCAGAAGCUGGAAAGUAAGGAAGCCUGUGAAUAAAGCCCCAGAGGCAGGAAGCUUCUCCUGUCAUUUCCUUCUAUGACAGCUACAUCAAGUCUGAAGGUAGUACCUGGCCGGGUGACGUUAGAAAACCACCAGGGCAUAAAUAUUGCUUUUGUAGUAAUCCUAGGACAGGCCUGCGUGAAAACCCCCUGGGACUCGUCACACGUGCUGUUGCAUCCCGUGGAGUCAGAUCUGAGGCGCGGCCAGAAAAACAU
Molecule: long non-coding RNA, 1658 nt
Organism: Prionailurus viverrinus (fishing cat)
Lineage: Eukaryota; Metazoa; Chordata; Mammalia; Carnivora; Felidae
Exons: 3
Source: RefSeq, a predicted model, not a curated record